CUCCGCUGCUCGCAAAUUCCACCGGGUCCGUUACUGGGCUCGGACUUCGAAGUUAACGCACGCCCGCCCGGCCGCAAACCGGGGCCUGAGGCCGCCCCCGCCCGCGGCGCCCCGCGCUGACCCCGCCGGCCGGAGGGGGCCGGGCUCACUUUGCAACUUUGUGCGGCGCCGGCCGCAGUGCCAGCUCGGUGGUAUCGUAUGCAAAUACGCAUGCUGACGUUACAGAUCAUGUGGGUUUUGGCGUAGAUUCCCCACUGAUCGGCAUUUUCCCCUCUUUUUCUUUCUUUUUUCUCUUUUUGCUUUUUCUUUUUAAAUUUUGGCCGCCGUCCUCGGAGCGGGCCUCUCUGCCCGAGCCCGGCACGCUGGCUGUCCCUCCGUUUCCCACGGAGCCCCGCGGGCGCCGGCCGGGGAGCGGGCCGAGGGUGGGGGAGCCAGCAGAGUUCCAUUUUGGAAGCCCGCGCUCGUCUCCGCGCGCCCAGCCCGGGUCCCCGCGUCCGCGCGCCCCCAGCCCCGGCGCCGCAGGUCCCGAAGCCCUGGCUGCUCCCAGAGUGCAUCUGUCAGAAGAUUCCCAGGAUGUGAGCCACACAAGUGUGGGUGAGGCGCAGAGCACGUUCUCCAAGAGACAUGCGAGUCGCGCUGCCCAAAUCCGGAACACCGCUGGCUGGGAGGCCAGAGCAUUCAGAGGGUGUUUCCUGCCAUUCCUUAGGACCUCAGCGGGCCGCUCCUAUCUCCUGUUUUUCAGUCACCAGAUUGAUUUCCCUCACCCCUCCGCAAG
Molecule: long non-coding RNA, 775 nt
Filed under: Heterocephalus glaber (naked mole-rat)
Lineage: Eukaryota; Metazoa; Chordata; Mammalia; Rodentia; Bathyergidae
Description: lncRNA (ENSHGLG00100037899.1)
Source: RNAcentral